CCUACGGGAGGCAGCAGUGAGGAAUAUUGGUCAAUGGACGAGAGUCUGAACCAGCCAAGUAGCGUGAAGGAUGACUGCCCUAUGGGUUGUAAACUUCUUUUAUAUGGGAAUAAACUGUUCCACGUGUGGGAUUUUGUAUGUACCCUAUGAAUAAGGAUCGGCUAACUCCGUGCCAGCAGCCGCGGUAAUACGGAGGAUCCGAGCGUUAUCCGGAUUUAUUGGGUUUAAAGGGAGCGUAGGUGGAUUGUUAAGUCAGUUGUGAAAGUUUGCGGCUCAACCGUAAAAUUGCAGUUGAAACUGGCAGUCUUGAGUACAGUAGAGGUGGGCGGAAUGCGUGGUGUAGCGGUGAAAUGCUUAGAUAUCACGAAGAACUCCGAUUGCGAAGGCAGUUCACUGGACUGCAACUGACACUGAGGCUCGAAAGUGUGGGUAUCAAACAGGAUUAGAUACCCCAGUAGUC
RNAcentral lists this ribosomal RNA (460 nucleotides) under uncultured bacterium. RNAcentral describes it as "partial 16S ribosomal RNA". It matches the Rfam family "Bacterial small subunit ribosomal RNA", at positions 338 to 795 of the family's 1533-position model. The record is from RNAcentral.